This 276-nucleotide ribosomal RNA is filed under the name Antrops sp. JK63. RNAcentral's name for it is "partial 12S ribosomal RNA". The record is from RNAcentral. Lineage: Eukaryota; Metazoa; Arthropoda; Insecta; Diptera; Sphaeroceridae.
CAGAGGAACCUGUUCUAUAAUCGAUAAUCCACGAUGGACCUUACUUAAAUUUGUUAAUCAGUUUAUAUACCGUCGUUAUUAGAAUAUUUUAUAAGAAUAAUAAUUUUCAUAAAAUUUUAUUAAAAUAUAUAUCAGAUCAAGGUGUAGCUUAUGUUUAAGAAGAAAUGGGUUACAAUAAAAUUAUUUAUACGAACAUAAAUAUGAAAAAUUUAUUGAAGGUGGAUUUGAUAGUAAAAUUAUAAAGAUUAAUAAUUUGAUUAUAGCUCUAAAAUAUGU